This 864-nucleotide ribosomal RNA is filed under the name uncultured bacterium. RNAcentral's name for it is "SSU rRNA". It matches the Rfam family "Bacterial small subunit ribosomal RNA", at positions 8 to 916 of the family's 1533-position model. The record is from RNAcentral.
AGAGUUUGAUCCUGGCUCAGAACGAACGCUGGCGGCAGGCCUAACACAUGCAAGUCGAACGCGCGUAGCAAUACGCGAGUGGCGCGCGGGUGAGUAAUACGUGGGAAUCAACCCUGAGGUUCGGAAUAACCGCGGGAAACUGCGGCUAAUACCGGAUGUCCCCUACGGGGGAAAGAUUUAUCGCCUUGGGACGAGCCCACGUCCGAUUAGCUAGUUGGUGAGGUAAUGGCUCACCAAGGCUACGAUCGGUAGCUGGUCUGAGAGGACGACCAGCCACACUGGAACUGAGACACGGUCCAGACUCCUACGGGAGGCAGCAGUGGGGAAUAUUGGGCAAUGGAGGCAACUCUGACCCAGCCAUGCCGCGUGGGUGACGAAGGUCUUCGGAUUGUAAAGCCCUUUCGGCGGGGACGAUGAUGACGGUACCCGCAGAAGAAGCCCCGGCUAACUUCGUGCCAGCAGCCGCGGUAAUACGAAGGGGGCUAGCGUUGUUCGGAAUUACUGGGCGUAAAGGGCGUGUAGGCGGCCCGUUAAGACAGGUGUGAAAUUCCUGGGCUCAACCCAGGACGUGCGCCUGUGACUGGCGGGCUUGAGUCCGGGAGAGGAUGGUGGAACUCCCAGUGUAGAGGUGAAAUUCGUAGAUAUUGGGAAGAACACCCGUGGCGAAGGCGGCCAUCUGGACCGGUACUGACGCUAAGGCGCGACAGCGUGGGGAGCAAACAGGAUUAGAUACCCUGGUAGUCCACGCCGUAAACGAUGAGUGCUAGACGUUGGGCAGCCUAGCUGUUCAGUGUCGCAGCUAACGCAUUAAGCACUCCGCCUGGGGAGUACGGCCGCAAGGUUGAAACUCAAAUGAAUUGACGG